Molecule: transfer RNA, 70 nt
Filed under: Dipodomys ordii (Ord's kangaroo rat)
Lineage: Eukaryota; Metazoa; Chordata; Mammalia; Rodentia; Heteromyidae
Rfam family: tRNA
About the family: Transfer RNA (tRNA) molecules are approximately 80 nucleotides in length.
Source: Rfam by way of RNAcentral
GGGAAUGUGGCUUAGUGGUAGAGUGCUUGCUUGACAUGUAUGAAGCCCUGGGUUUGAUUCUGCAGUACCA